Molecule: unclassified non-coding RNA, 289 nt
Filed under: Hevea brasiliensis (rubber tree)
Lineage: Eukaryota; Viridiplantae; Streptophyta; Magnoliopsida; Malpighiales; Euphorbiaceae
Source: RNAcentral
GUUACAUGCACUCCCAAUAUAAAUAUCAUUUCAAUUCUUUAUGUUUCCAGCUUUUCUAUUGGUUUUUUAUCUGUUAAUUCCGUUACUCAAGCUCUUAAUUGCGAAAUUAAAUUUUUUUCUUAUUCAUUGCAUAUUUCAGGAUUUAAAAACAGGGAAAAUUAUUAGCAGUGGUAAAUUAUGAGAUGACCUGUAUUUUCUAGAUGAUGGUUGUAGUUCCUCAAAUUUUGAAGUAAACCAGGCUUUGUUAGGACAAGCUAUAAGUGCUAAUGAGGAGAUUAUCCAGUGGCAU